This 478-nucleotide ribosomal RNA is filed under the name uncultured bacterium. Its description in RNAcentral is "partial 16S ribosomal RNA". It matches the Rfam family "Bacterial small subunit ribosomal RNA", at positions 28 to 523 of the family's 1533-position model. The record is from RNAcentral.
GACGGACGCUGGCGGCGUGCUUAACACAUGCAAGUCGAACGGUAAGGCCCUUCGGGGUACACGAGUGGCGAACGGGUGAGUAACACGUGGGUGAUCUGCCCUGCACUUCGGGAUAAGCCUGGGGAACUAGGUCUAAUACCGGAUAGGACCCUGGGAUGCAUGUCCUGGGGUGGAAAGCUUUUGCGGUGUGGGAUGGGCCCGCGGCCUAUCAGCUUGUUGGUGGGGGGAUGGCCUACCAAGGCGACGACGGGGAGCCGGCCUGAGAGGGUGACCGGCCACACUGGGGAUGAGGUACGGCCCAGACUCCUACGGGAGGCAGCAGUGGGGAAUAUUGCACAAUGGGCGCAAGCCUGAUGCAGCGACGCCGCGUGAGGGAUGACGGCCUUCGGGUUGUAAACCUCUUUCAGCACCGACGAAGCGCAAGUGACGGUAGGUGCAGAAGAAGGACUGGCCAACUACGUGCCAGCAGCCGCGGUAA